RNA transcript from Salarias fasciatus (jewelled blenny), 4047 nucleotides. It is a transcript of the gene named formin binding protein 1b, with no coding region annotated. The transcript has 20 exons. The record is from RefSeq and is a predicted model, not a curated record. NCBI's taxonomy places the organism in Eukaryota, Metazoa, Chordata, Actinopteri, Blenniiformes, Blenniidae.
ACUUGUUUUUUUCUUCUCCAUAUGUUACUGCAUUAAAGCCAUGAGUAUGCUGCGUAGAAGAAGCGAGUUUUUUGUCUUCCUGGACAAUGCGUUUUCUGUGAAAUCAGAAAAGGAGGAGCCGAAAGAGGAGCGGCAGCUGAGUGCGUAUGAAGAGUAUCUGCAGGUGCUGCUUCAGAUGAAGAUGACCAGUUCUGAUCAGUUUGACAACUUGGAGAAGCACACACAGUGGGGGAUCGAAUUUGUGGAAAAGUACACCAAAUUCGUCAAGGAGAGAUCAGAGAUCGAAAUCAGCUAUGCAAAACAAAUUAGGAAUUUAUCAAAGAAAUAUCAGCCUAAGAAGAACUCACGAGAAGAGGAAGAGAGCAAGUACACCUUCUGUCGAGCCUUCCUGUCCACACUUAACGAAUUGAACGACUACGCCGGCCAGCACGAGGUCAUAGCGGAGAACCUGACGUCCCAAAUCAUCGCCGACCUUUCGCGCUACCUGCAGGAGCUCAAGGCUGAGAGGAAAUCGCACUUCCAUGAUGGACGUAAGGCCCAGCAGCACAUCGAGAGCUCGUGGAAACAGCUGGAAUCUUGUAAAAGAAGAUUCGAGCGAGACUGCAAGGAGGCCGACCGAGCACAGCAGUACUUCGAGAAGAUGGACGCCGACAUUAACGUGACGAAGGCUGAUGUGGAGAAGCGAAGUUCUCUGAAGGCACGACAGCAAGCUCAGAUGAGGCACCAGAUGGCUGCUGACAGUAAGGGCGAUUACUCCUCCUACCUGCAAAAGUUCAACCAGGAGCAGAAUGAACAUUAUUACACAAUCAUCCCUAACAUAUUCCAGAAACUUCAAGACAUGGAGGAGAAAAGAAUCGAGAGGCUAGGAGUGUGCAUGAAGACGUUCGCGGACGUGGACCGCCAAGUGCUGCCCAUCGUGGGGAAGUGUUUAGACGGCAUGACGAAGGCCGCCGAGUCCAUCGAGCCCAAAGCUGACUCGAAGCAGGUGGUGGAGUCCUACAAGUCCGGGUUCGAGCCCCCGGGAGACGUGGAGUUCCAGGACUACGGCCAGGCCAUGAAGAGGACGGCGUCGGACACCAGCCUGACGGAGUCCAGAGACGGCAAAGAGAAGCCGACCAAGCCCAAGACCAAACUGUGGCCUUUCAUUAAGAACAAGAACAAGCUUAUGUCCCUGUUAACGUCCCCCCACCAGCCCCCACCUGCCCCCCCAGCCUCAUCCCCGCCCUCACCCUCUGCUGUUCCCAACGACCCCCAGUCUCCCAAGCAGCACAAGGAGCCCCUCUCCCACCGCCUCAACGACUUCAUGACCUCCAAACCCAAAAUGCACUGCCUCCGGAGCCUGAGGCGAGGGCAGCAGUCUCCGCGCUCGCUCGUUUAUCACAAAGAGCUUAUGAAGAGGACUCUGGGCCGACCCACAUAUGCUUUCGAAGCAAGGCAAUAUGUUCUUUCUCUCAAGCUGAUCACACUCAAUUCCCACGUCCGGAAUCUCAUUGAGGGUUCUGGACCAGAGGACUUCAGUCACCUCCCGCCAGAGCAGAGGAGGAAGAAGCUGCAGGGCAAGAUCGAUGAGCUCAAUAAAGACAUCCAGAAAGAGAUGGACCAGAGGGACGCUCUGACUAAGAUGAAAGACGUGUACGUGAAGAACCCUCAGAUGGGAGACCCGGCCAGCGUGGACCCCCGGCUAUCAGAAAUCGGCCAGAACAUCGAGAAGCUGCAGGCUGAAGUGCAGAAAUUCGAGGGCUGGCUAGCAGAGGUGGAGGAGAGGAUGCCGUCGAAAAGCGACUCGCAUCGGAGAAGCGGGAUCUAUGAGACCCAGAACAGCACAGCAGUGAGCAACAACUGUGCUCAGGACAGAGAGAGGCCUCUGAGCAGCCCGGACGGCAGCUACACAGAGGAGCAGAAUUCAGAGACUCAGGUCAAAGCCAACCUCAACCCCAACCCCGCCUCGUCCACGCCCGAGUUCGACGACGAGUUCGACGACGAGGAGACCCUGCCCACCAUCGGCACCUGCAAGGCCUUGUACCCCUUCGACGGUAAGAACGAGGGCACCAUCUCGGUGGCGGAGGGCGAGCUGCUGUACGUCAUCGAGGAGGACAAAGGAGACGGCUGGACGCGCGUGCGGAGGAACGAGGACGAGGAGGGAUACGUCCCCACGUCCUACGUCGAGGUCAUUUUGGAAACAAAUGCCAAAGGUGCUAUGACAUAUAUUUAACUCCGCAAGUUCAUGCUCUGAAAAGCUCUUGUUUUUUUGAUUUUGUUUUUAUUUUUAUUCAUGGGGCGCGAGACUAAAGAUUGUCACUCAGAUGCACUGUCUCUGGACCAAUCAGAUUUGUCCGUUUGUGCCUCGUGACAUGUGAGAGACACUCGUGCCACUUCGUACUGCUGAAUGGGAAUCAAACUGAAUGUGAAGCGAGCCAAUCAGAUGCUGUGGAAGCAGUUUGCUUGCUGGGGUUUUUUUUUCCCAUCUUUUAUUCACUGCAGUGCCCCCUAGUGGUCUUCAGAAAUAAAGCAGUCAGACUUGAUCAUUAACGCUGCUAAAAGUGAUCGCCUGUACAUUUUUAAACUGUUUUUUUUUUUAAUUUUCUUUAUGUUGAAGUUGAAAAUUUUACCUUUUCAUAUUCCUUUUUAAAUUGACGCGCUCUCUUUGUUAAUUACUGUAUUUAAAAAAAAAAAAAUCAAAACGCUCUGCUAGAUCAGCGUUCGAACCACCUGAAGUGACGGUUAGCAUCAAGUGAAAUCAUCGUGUUUUGGUCACUUGUUGUACCUUAAAGGAAAAGCAUGCUCGAUGUGCAAUCAUGCAAAUGUAAUUUAAAUCUGCUGUAAAAUGUGAAUACAUACAAAGAGAUAUUUUUGUAGGCUAACUGGAAUAAAAGACAAAAAAAAAAGAAAGAAAUCCCCUUCAACUGUUGCAUGCUAUAGUUUAUAGUGUAGAUACAACAGGAAAAAGAACACAAACUUGUGGUUGUAUUUAUUCUCCUCUGCAUUGAUUUUUCACUAAAUUAACAGUCAAGUUAUUCUCAAAACAGUCCCUGAAUUUGUUGUUUUUUUCUUUCUUUUCUUUUAAAUAAUCCCUUUGAUAAUAGUGUCGGGCUGUUCUGGUCCUUUUCUUCCAGGCCAGUGGUAAAGGAAUUAAAGGACUGACAAUUAGCUGUACUAAGCUCUCUGAUUCCUAAAAGUUGUGAGGCUGGCUGAGGAACGGCAGGGCAAGCAGCCUCCGAGAAACCACCACGUCCCUCACGCGCUCGCAGAGCUCGAGUCAGAGAACGAAAGCGAGAGAUGACCUCGAUCUAAAACAAACCGAGAGACACGGCCGAUUAGAACGCAUCUGAAUUCCUCUUUCGAAAAAACAAACAGAAACGUACCAACGGCGUUCGCGCUUCCUCUGCGAGUUGAAGCCACGACGCGAGUAAUCCAUCUAAAUUUUAGCGCUCAUUCCCUUUUUUUUUUAUUUUCUCCUCCAUCUUUAACAUCCAUCCAGUCACGGCCAAGGUUGCCAGAGUUGCUUUUUGGUUUGUUUUUUGUUUUAUUUCCCCCUCCAGCAGCGCUUUUGCUUCUUUAAUGUAACUAACCGGCUUGCACCGCGCGUGGUCAUCUACGAAGCUUUUUGGCUUCCUCGCCGCCGCCCCCUCCCCCUUGGCUCUACUACUUCUUUUUUUACUCUACCUUUGCCCCAUCACACACACACACACACACACACACACGGCAGAGGGUGUGGUCAGAGACAGGACGGAGACCAACAGCAGCCUGCGGACUACAGACCAGAGAAAUUCACUCCCCCACGCUGAAGCCCUCACCCUCACCCCUUGAAAACGAACUCAUUAUUUGCAGGUUUCAUCCAGCCGGAAAGCCACGGUGCUAAACCGACUUAUCUCUGUGUUUUGAGCUCGUUGGUUUGAUGUGAAUGAUCGUGAGUGUUUGUGGACGUCUCGACUUCCUCCCUCGCCGCCACCGAUCCCACAUGCCUAGCGCCAGCCGGACAGGAAGCAGGGACAAAAAAAAAAAAAAAAAACAAAGAAAAAAAGGAAAGAUGAACGAAUGAUGGGUGUA